RNAcentral lists this ribosomal RNA (253 nucleotides) under uncultured bacterium. RNAcentral describes it as "partial 16S ribosomal RNA". It matches the Rfam family "Bacterial small subunit ribosomal RNA", at positions 524 to 776 of the family's 1533-position model. The record is from RNAcentral.
UACGUAGGGUCCGAGCGUUGUCCGGAAUUAUUGGGCGUAAAGAGCUCGCAGGCGGUUUGUCGCGUCUGCUGUGAAAUCCCGAGGCUCAACCGCGGGCCUGCAGUGGGUACGGGCAGACUGGAGUGCGGUAGGGGAGAAUGGAAUUCCUGGUGUAGCGGUGGAAUGCGCAGAUAUCAGGAGGAACACCGAUGGCGAAGGCAGUUCUCUGGGCCGUAACUGACGCUGAGGAGCGAAAGCGUGGGGAGCGAACAGG